Long non-coding RNA from Homo sapiens (human), 698 nucleotides. The record is from Ensembl. Lineage: Eukaryota; Metazoa; Chordata; Mammalia; Primates; Hominidae.
GCAUUUAAUCCUUUUUUAACUGGGUGAGGUUGCCUCUUGGGACCCCCAGUUGAUAGAUGAGAAGCACCUGACUUUGAAAAGGAACCGAACUCAAGCAGGCUGCAUCCUAAGCCCGAUUUGCCAAGUUGUUUCUCAUUAAACCUAAACCAACUCUUCAGCCGCGCCGCCUCGGGGACCGUAAGCCCCGCUCUGGUGGACGCCUGGAGUCGCCGCCUCCCGAGAGUCCACACCCCAUCUUGUCUCCAGCCUGCGCUGGGAAGAAGCUGAGGUCUGGAGGUCUUCCUCUGAAGGAGCACAGUCCAGGGAGCCACAGAAGGCUGCCUUGAGGAGUGGAACUGCUUCAGGGAUCAAUGCAAAGUGUCCCCUGUCAGGAGAAAAACCACUCAGAGGAGGUAAAGGCCCAUGAGCCAUUCCUGAGCUGCUAGAACAAAUUUCCUAAGAUGGUUGAAUAGCAGGAAACAGAGACAAAAACAAAAAACAGAAAACACCAGAGGCAGGUUACACAAGAAAGCUCUCCUUAAGCAGGGAACACAGAAAAUAAACAUAAUUAGCACUACAUUCCUGGAGACAUAUCGUGAUUACACAGACAUCAAACUCAACUGGGCUUCUUGUGUGGGAUGCGCCCUUUUUAAAAUUUUGAUUGUAUUUAUGAGACAUUUAAAAAGUUAAACCUCUCAUAAAAUGUUGGAGAAAAAAGA